Molecule: ribosomal RNA, 301 nt
Filed under: uncultured bacterium
Lineage: Bacteria
Description: partial 16S ribosomal RNA
Rfam family: Bacterial small subunit ribosomal RNA
Source: RNAcentral
CAGCAGCCGCGGGAAUACAGAGGGUGCAAGCGUUAAUCGGAAUUACUGGGCGUAAAGCGCGCGUAGGUGGUUUGUUAAGUUGGAUGUGAAAUCCCCGGGCUCAACCUGGGAACUGCAUUCAAAACUGACUGACUAGAGUAUGGUAGAGGGUGGUGGAAUUUCCUGUGUAGCGGUGAAAUGCGUAGAUAUAGGAAGGAACACCAGUGGCGAAGGCGACCACCUGGACUAAUACUGACACUGAGGUGCGAAAGCGUGGGGAGCAAACAGGAUUAGAUACCCGCGUAGUCCCUGUCUCUUAUAC